Bos taurus (domestic cattle) is the source of this 1326-nucleotide long non-coding RNA. Lineage: Eukaryota; Metazoa; Chordata; Mammalia; Artiodactyla; Bovidae. The record is from Ensembl.
UGAGUACUAGAUGGAAAGUAAAAUUUUCAGCUUUAAAUUAUUAGUGCUGCCGUUUAAAAAUAAAUAAAGAUACAAACUGCUGUGGGAACCCAGUACCUCCUAUCAUUUAUCUUAUGUUAACAAUGACUUAAAAGAAACUCCAAAACUGGCAAAAUGCCAUAUUGUGUCUCAAGGAAGAAAUAUUGGAGCCGAGCCUUGAAGGGUGGGUAUCUGACUUGCAGAGAUCAAGGAGAGGUUUCAGGGCAGAGAAGGAGUAUGAAGAAAGGCAUUAAGACCAGAAUAGGUGGGGCAGCCCCAGAGCACUGGAGGGGAGAGGAGAUGGCAGAGUAGCAGGCUCGGGGGCUGGGCAGGGUAGCAUGGGAGGGCCCGCAAGGCCAUGCUAGGAAGUUCUGCCUUCAUCUUACAGGCAAUGGCUAGGACAAUGGAGAUUUGGGGAGCUGAUCAGUGCUUUGUUGGGAUUUGUGCAGGCAGAAUGGGGCUUCCCAGGUGGCGCAAGUGAUAAAGAAUCUGCCUGCCAAUGCAUUAGAUGUAAGAGAUGCAAGUUCGAUCCCUGGGUUGGGAAGAUCCCUAGAGGAGGGCAUGGCAACCCACUCCAGUAUUCUUGCCUGGAGAACCCCAUGGACAGAGAAGCCUGGCAGGCUACAGGCCAUAAGGUCGCAGAGUCAGACACGAUUGAAGCGACUUAGCACGCAUGCAGGUAGGCAGAACGGAGGCUGCCUGGGAAAGAAAUAACAUGAGGCAAGGAAUCAGGCAGGAGGCUGAUACAAAUGUCUAGAGGGGACAUCUCUGGUGGCCCAGUGGUUAAGACUUCGCUUUCCAAAGCAGGGCAUAAGCAGCAUUGUAACAAAUUCAAUAAAGACUCUAAAAAUGGUCUACCAAAAAAUACAUAUAUUUAAGUAUCUAGAAUGAAGUAAAGUGAAGUUGCUCAGUCGUGUCCGACUCUUUGCGAUCCCGUGGACUGUAGCCCACCAGGCUCCUCCGUCCAUGGGGUUUUCCAAGCAAGAGUACUGGAGUGGGUUGCCAUUUCCUUCUCCAGGGGAUCUUCCUGACCCAGGGAUCGAUCCCAGGUCUCCUACACUGCAGGCAGACGCUUCACCCUCUGAGCCACCAGGGAAGCCAGUGAAGUAUCUAGAAUAAGAGUGAGCAAAUUUUUUAUAAAGGGCCCCCCAAAACACCCCAUCACCAACACAAUCAGUGUUAUUUCUUGGCCCCGUGCUUCGGCAUAUACUAUUCCCUCUGCUUGUAAUUCCAACAAACAUACCCUCCAAAAUUAUACAUUGGCUCAAUACUUACUAACCACUUACUCUGUGUCAAGUCCAUAAUCCC